GUCAGGAUGGCCGAGUGGUCUAAGGCGCUGCGUUCAGGUCGCAGUCCACUUGCGUGGGCGUGGGUUCGAAUCCCACUUCUGACA
This 84-nucleotide transfer RNA is filed under the name Parasteatoda tepidariorum (common house spider). Its description in RNAcentral is "transfer RNA leucine (anticodon CAG)". It matches the Rfam family "tRNA". Rfam says of the family: Transfer RNA (tRNA) molecules are approximately 80 nucleotides in length. The record is from RNAcentral. Lineage: Eukaryota; Metazoa; Arthropoda; Arachnida; Araneae; Theridiidae.